GCAUAUCAAUAAGCGGAGGAAAAGAAACCAACAGGGAUUGCCCCAGUAACGGCGAGUGAAGCGGCAAUAGCUCAAAUUUGAAAUCUGGCCCUUUUAGGGUCCGAGUUGUAAUUUGCAGAGGGCGCUUUGGAGUUGGCUGCAGCCUAAGUUCCUUGGAACAGGUCAUCAUAGAGGGUGAGAAUCCCGUAUGUGGUUGCAUGCCUUCGCCGUGUAAAGCCCCUUCGAUGAGUCGAGUUGUUUGGGAAUGCAGCUCUAAAUGGGAGGUAAAUUUCUUCUAAAGCUAAAUAUUGGCCAGAGACCGAUAGCGCACAAGUAGAGUGAUCGAAAGAUGAAAAGCACUUUGGAAAGAGAGUCAAAAAGCACGUGAAAUUGUUGAAAGGGAAGCGCUUGCAGCCAGACUUGCCCGCAGUUGCUCAUCCGGGGUUCUCCCCGGUGCACUCUUCUGUGGGCAGGCCAGCAUCAGUUCGGGCGGUUGGAGAAAGACCUGUGUCAUGUAGCUGUUCUCGGGCAGUGUUAUAGGGCAGGUGGAAUGCAACCAGCUCGAACUGAGGUCCGCGCUUCUGCUAGGAUGCUGGCGUAAUGGCUGUAAGCGGCCCGUCUUGAAACACGGACCAAGGAGUCUAACAUCUAUGCGAGUGUUUGGGUGUCAAGCCCGAGCGCGUAAUGAAAGUGAACGGAGGUGGGAACCCCUCGGGGUGCACCAUCGACCGAUCCUGAUGUCUUCGGAUGGAUUUGAGUAAGAGCAUAGCUGUUGGGACCCGAAAGAUGGUGAACUAUGCCUGAAUAGGGUGAAGCCAGAGGAAACUCUGGUGGAGGCUCGCAGCGGUUCUGACGUGCAAAUCGAUCGUCAAAUUUGGGCAUAGGGGCGAAAGACUAAUCGAACUAUCUAGUAGCUGGUUCCUGCC
This 905-nucleotide ribosomal RNA is filed under the name Prosthemium asterosporum. RNAcentral describes it as "LSU rRNA". It matches the Rfam family "Eukaryotic large subunit ribosomal RNA", at positions 38 to 962 of the family's 3401-position model. Lineage: Eukaryota; Fungi; Ascomycota; Dothideomycetes; Pleosporales; Pleomassariaceae. The record is from RNAcentral.